RNAcentral lists this ribosomal RNA (460 nucleotides) under uncultured bacterium. Its description in RNAcentral is "partial 16S ribosomal RNA". It matches the Rfam family "Bacterial small subunit ribosomal RNA", at positions 338 to 795 of the family's 1533-position model. The record is from RNAcentral.
CCUACGGGAGGCAGCAGUGAGGAAUAUUGGUCAAUGGGCGCGAGCCUGAACCAGCCAAGUAGCGUGAAGGAUGACUGCCCUACGGGUUGUAAACUUCUUUUAUAAAGGAAUAAAGUGAGGCACGUGUGCCUUUUUGUAUUUACUUUAUGAAUAAGGAUCGGCUAACUCCGUGCCAGCAGACGAGGUAAUACGGAGGAUCCGAGGGUUAUCCGGAUUUAUUGGGUUUUAAGGGAGCGUAGAUGGGUUGGUAAGUCAGUUGUGAAAGUUUGCGGCGCAACCGUAAAAUUGCAAUUGAAACUGGCAGUCUUGAGUACAGUUGAGGUAGGCGGAAUUCGUGGUGUAGCGGUGAAAUGCUUAGAUAUCACGAAGAACUCCGAUUGCGAAGGCAGCUUACUAAACUGCCACUGACAUUGAUGCUCGAAAGUGUGGGUAUCAAACAGGAUUAGAUACCCGUGUAGUC